This 74-nucleotide transfer RNA is filed under the name Fusarium verticillioides 7600. RNAcentral's name for it is "tRNA-Asn (ATT) (tRNA-Asn-ATT-1-1)". It matches the Rfam family "tRNA". From Rfam's summary of the family: Transfer RNA (tRNA) molecules are approximately 80 nucleotides in length. Their secondary structure includes four short double-helical elements and three loops (D, anti-codon, and T loops). The record is from RNAcentral. Lineage: Eukaryota; Fungi; Ascomycota; Sordariomycetes; Hypocreales; Nectriaceae.
CCCUAGCUGGUGCAAUUGGUUAGCACGUCGCCUUAUUUCGGCGAAUGUUGCUGGCUCAAAUCCAGCACUGGGGG